ACGACUGCUAAGACUGGAUAGGAGACAAGAAGGCAUCUUCUUGUUUUUAAAAGACCUAGCAAUAGGUAUGCUUAGGUAGGAGCUUGCGUCACAUUAGUUAGUUGGUGGGGUAAAGGCCUACCAAGACUAUGAUGUGUAGCCGGGCUGAGAGGUUGAACGGCCACAUUGGGACUGAGACACGGCCCAAACUCCUACGGGAGGCAGCAGUAGGGUAUUUUCGGCAAUGGAGGAAACUCUGACCGAGCAACGCCGCGUGAACGAUGAAGUAUUUCGGUACGUAAAGUUCUUUUAUUAGGGAAGAAUAAAUGAUGGAAAAAUCAUUCUGACGGUACCUAAUGAAUAAGCCCCGGCUAACUAUGUGCCAGCAGCCGCGGUAAUACAUAGGGGGCAAGCGUUAUCCGGAAUUAUUGGGCGUAAAGGGUGCGUAGGCGGUUAAAUAAGUUUGUGGUCUAAGUGCAAUGCUCAACAUUGUGAUGCUAUAAAAACUGUUUAGCUAGAGUAAGAUAGAGGCAAGUGGAAUUCCAUGUGUAGUGGUAAAAUGCGUAAAUAUAUGGAGGAACACCAGUAGCGAAGGCGGCUUGCUGGGUCUUUACUGACGCUGAGGCACGAAAGCGUGGGUAGCAAACAGGAUUAGAUACCCUGGUAGUCCACGCCGUAAACGAUGAGUACUAAACGUUGGGUAAAACCAGUGUUGAAGUUAACACAUUAAGUACUCCGCCUGAGUAGUACGUACGCAAGUAUGAAACUUAAAGGAAUUGACGGGACUCCGCACAAGCGGUGGAUCAUGUUGUUUAAUUCGAAGGUACCCGAAAAACCUCACCAGGUCUUGACAUGCUUCUGCAAAGCUGUAGAAACACAGUGGAGGUUAUCAGUUGCACAGGUGGUGCAUGGUUGUCGUCAGCUCGUGUCGUGAGAUGUUGGGUUAAGUCCCGCAACGAGCGCGACCCUUAUUGUUAGUUACCAGCACGUAAUGGUGGGGACUUUAGCAAGACUGCUAGUGAUAAAUUGGAGGAAGGUGGGGACAACGUCAAAUCAUCAUGCCCCUUAUGACCUGGGCUACAAACGUGAUACAAUGGCUGUUACAAAGGGUAGCUGAAGCGCAAGUUUUUGGCGAAUCUCAAAAAAACAGUCUCAGUUCGGAUUGAAGUCUGCAACUCGACUUCAUGAAGUUGGAAUCGCUAGUAGUCGCGAAUCAGCAUGUCGCGGUGAAUACGUUCACGGGGUUUGUACACACCGCCCGUCA
This 1243-nucleotide ribosomal RNA is filed under the name 'Kerria japonica' witches'-broom phytoplasma. RNAcentral describes it as "bacterial SSU rRNA". It matches the Rfam family "Bacterial small subunit ribosomal RNA", at positions 156 to 1399 of the family's 1533-position model. Lineage: Bacteria; Bacillati; Mycoplasmatota; Mollicutes; Acholeplasmatales; Acholeplasmataceae. The record is from RNAcentral.